UGAGCUUCUUGAUGUGUUGGC
This 21-nucleotide non-coding RNA is filed under the name Arabidopsis thaliana (thale cress). Lineage: Eukaryota; Viridiplantae; Streptophyta; Magnoliopsida; Brassicales; Brassicaceae. The record is from RNAcentral.